GAACGCAUAUUGCACUCUCUGGUAAUCCGGGGAGUAUGCCUGUUUGAGGGUCAGUAAAUAAUAAUUAUCAUAAUCUUUUGAUUGUGGAAUUGGGCUUUUAUUUCAUUUUAAUGAUUUAUGGCCUUAAAUUUAUGUUACCGCUUGUUUAAUAUGAAAUUCGACCGAAUGGAGCAAUUAAACAUUCUCUCGUUAGGCGGAUUCAUCAAGCAAUUACGAUUUUUUGGCCGUCGAAGCACUUUUUUUUUUAGAAGUGCUUGGUCGAGAUUGUAAGAUACAUUUUUAACAAUGACCUCAAAUCAGGCAAGAAUACCCGCUGAACUUAAG
This 324-nucleotide unclassified non-coding RNA is filed under the name uncultured Entrophospora. Its description in RNAcentral is "uncultured Claroideoglomus sequence contains 5.8S rRNA gene". The stretch from base 1 to 53 matches the Rfam family "5.8S ribosomal RNA", at positions 102 to 154 of the family's 154-position model. The record is from RNAcentral. Lineage: Eukaryota; Fungi; Glomeromycota; Glomeromycetes; Entrophosporales; Entrophosporaceae.